AUGACCAUGGCUAGUCCAUUCGGCGUCUUUGUUUGUCUACUCAUAGUGCUACCUCAAAUCCAGGCCGCUUCUAUCCCCUACAAUGGGACUGUACCUCUUCAGGGGUGUCAGAUCCCUUGUAUGACCGAAGUUAACUUGCACUUGUUCUUGCACCAAUUCGUCGAUGGACCAAACCAGCCAAACCGCAAUGAGGAAACCUUGCUCCAAACAAGUUUUCCUUUUGGGUUUGGGACGACGAUAGUUCAUGACUGGACUCUUACCGAGACAACAAAUUCCAAAGAUACAGUUGUUGCACGUGCACAAGGCGUGCAUGUCCAGGCUGGUUUAACCAAGGAUAAUAGAUGGUACAUGACUCAUAACAUAGAGUUUGAGCAAGGAAGUUUGCACAUGAAACAGGUUUGCAGGGUCUAA
RNAcentral lists this ribosomal RNA (411 nucleotides) under Triticum aestivum (bread wheat). RNAcentral describes it as "partial small subunit ribosomal RNA". The record is from RNAcentral. Lineage: Eukaryota; Viridiplantae; Streptophyta; Magnoliopsida; Poales; Poaceae.